Molecule: microRNA precursor, 67 nt
Filed under: Drosophila mojavensis
Lineage: Eukaryota; Metazoa; Arthropoda; Insecta; Diptera; Drosophilidae
Description: Dmo-Mir-31-P1_pre stem-loop
Source: RNAcentral
UGGCAAGAUGUCGGCAUAGCUGACGUUUCAAAGCGCAUUGCAUAGCGCUAUGCUGCAUCUAGUCAGU